AGACAGGCAGUCACAAGCCUGGGGACUGCAGGCACAGUGAGGAAGGUAGGGAAGGGUCUCUCCAAGACAGGCCCACCAGGAGCCCCCACUGGGAAUAAUGCAGCCCCUCUCAGGGGAUGGAGUGUCUGGAAUUCCAUGGCUGAGGUGCAACAGGUGACUGAAGGUUUGAGGAGGCAACGCUGCCACUCACAGUCAGAAGCAGAGGGGAUGAGAUGGCCAGAUGUGAUUGGAAUCAGACACAGUGAGGUUUGAAUCCUCACUCUGUCCUUUUUGUUGUGUGGCCUGUGUGACAGGUCCCACAGCCUCUCCAGCCUCUGUGGGAAGAAGGAUCAUCUGAUGCCUAUGUAAUAGAGUUGCUGAAGGAGUGGAAGCAGCUUUGACAUUAUCAGUGGAACCCACCAGUGCAGACUGCUUCACCAAGGGCACCUGAGGCAGCAGAUCUGAGGAUUAGGGACGUAGGGAGCUGAAGCCUGGCUGGAGAGGUGGUGCGCACAAGAACCCCCACAUUCCCCGACAGGAGCCUGAAAAAGCAAGACGCCAUGUUGGGAGGACACGGAAGCAGUUCUAGGGAGAGGAGCACAUGGCAAGAAGCCAAGGCCUCCUGCCCACAGCCGAUACCCUGUGAUUGCCAGCAAGUAAACCAGAUGCAAUUGUGGUUUCCGUGAAGCACAGCUGGAAAACUGCUGCCCCCACGGAGGAAGAGGAAGAUGGGAAGAUGGUGGUUACUGCACACCAGGCACCAGCCUCGGGGCUAUGAGCUGUACAAACAUUACCCAUUUUAUCCUCGUGACCAUGUUCUGAGAAGGCUGUCAAUGAUCUCACUUUAUACAUGGGGAAAUUCAUGCAGACAGAGGCUGACUAAAUUGCCAUGGUCACUCAGCUAGUAGGAACUGGAGCUGUAACUUGAACCCGGGUCUUUUGUUUCUGUGGCUCCUGGUAGCACAUGCCGGGCUUGAAGUGAGAUCCGGAGGAUGUUGGAAACAACGUGUUCCCCAUCAUGAAAGUCCUUAUGAUACCUUAUGAUGCAGAGUUGGCAGCCAGGAGCAGGGGCUUCCAGAAGCAUGGCUGACCCUUGUUGGGAUCUCGCUCCUGUGAGCCUUGGAACGUCUAGGGAGAAAGAGCAGCCAAAUUUAGAGCUGCAGGAGCUUUGAGAUGCAGCUCAGGCAUCAUCUCUGGGAAGUCUUUCCUGGAACCACAGCCUGGGCCCUGUACCUGAUUCCCAGCCCCUGUGGCUCUUUUUGCAUUUGCUGCCUCUUUUCACAAUUCUGUCUCCUUAUGUCUUCCACUCUACACGCAAGCCCCUUGAGGGCAGGACCAUGACUCAGUCAUCCUGUACCCUAGCACCCACCCUGGGUCUGCAUCUGGAAGGAGCUCACUAAGUGAUUAUUGAGCCAAACUGAACUGUAGCAGGAGUGAGCAAAGCUAAUUCAUGGGUGCAGAAUGGGAGCACAGAGCUGCCAGAAUCCAGAGACAACUGUAACUGUCCCGGCACAGGGGGCUUCAGGCCGCGGUGAGAGCCACUGAAAGCAAGAGAGCCAGGUGGUGGCUCAGUUCACACUGAGUCCUGCUGAAGAAAUAGGCACAUCGUGUGUGUUAAAAUCAGCACCCCAUGCACCUGUAGGAAGAGACUGAGGCACCCUGGAGGCCCCUCCCAAUAAUUAAAAGGCCCUCUGGGGCCUGUGGGAGCCCUAGCUGAUGAAAUCACAAAGGCCUCAGCCUCUAAAGUGUUUCCAGUAAAAUGCUACCAGGAUUUUCCUCCCUUAAAUCUGGAUGAAAGGGCUGUCUGUGCUACAAAGUGCACACCUGGCGUUGAUACGCAGUCUCUUGCUGCCUGUUAACUAACCCACCAGCCGACAAGUUCUGCCCACUGGCAGGAGCAAGGACUUAUAAAAAAUAGUGCCUCCCUCCCAAGGGCUUAUGAGCUGGUUAAGUGCAGAGGACAAAUAGAAUGAAAGAAAAGGCAAUCUCGGCAUAGUAUUUAGUUAAUUCUUCUCUCUCUCUUGUUCCCUCUCUCUCCUUUCUCUCUUCCUCCCUCCUUUCUAUGACUUGUCCUCUCCACACAACUCCUUUUCCGUUUUCCCUCCCCUGCCUCCCCACCUUCUUUCUUGACUUCCCAUCUUGCUCCCUUUCUUCCUGCCUGCCCAUCUGCUUUCCUUUCUUAUCUCUGGUGCAAAUUCUGCAUAUAGUCGCUCUCCUCAUUUCAUGACAGGCUGUCUUCAUCAGUUUCUGAGUUCUUUUGUUAUUUUAUAAAAUAUUUUACAUGCUGUCCUCAAAAAAUCCCCUCCCCCAGAAAAGGCCCAUUCAAAAGUACUUACUAUACGUCCUUAGAUAGGCAAUGAUCUCUGAAAUAUAUAUAGGCUUGCUCUAUAUGUGUUUUUGUAAGUGUACUUUUCUUUCAUUAAAUAUGCAGAUCUUAAUUGUACAGUUUGAGGUGUUUUGACAAAGGUAUAUACCAGUAAAACCACCACCCCAACCAAGGUACCGAACACUUUCAUCUCUCUGGAAAGUCCCCUUGUGCCACCUUCCAGUCAACUCUCACCCUCCAGAGGCACCCACUGUUCAGAUUUCUACAUGCAUUUUGCCUGUUGCUGAACUGGAACCUCACAGCCUUUUACGUCUGGCUUCUUUCACUUAACAUAAUGUUUUUAAGUCAUCCAUGUAGUUCAUUCUUUUUUUUGUUGCAGAGCAAUAUUCCAUUGUGUGAAUGGAUGUACUUUAUCCAUCAACAGUUGAUGAAGUUGGGUUGGUGGCACUUUUUGGCUAUCGUGGGUAAUGCUGCUCUGGAUGUUUCUGCACAAGUCUUUAUUGUGGACAUGGGUUUCCAUUUCUUCUGGGCAAAUGCCCAGGAACAGAAUUGCUGAUUCAUUAGGAAGUUAUAUGUUUAACUUCAUAAGAAACUGGAAAACCGCACUCCACAGUGUUCAUGCUAUUGCACAUUGCCCCCAGUGCCAUGUGAAUGUUUCAUUCUUGGGGUCUAGAAUAUCUUACUGCAGUUUUAAUUGGAAGUUCUCUGAUGACUUUUGAUAGAGUAUCUUUUCAUGUGCUUAUUGGUUAUUUAUUUCUUCUUUAAAGAAGAGUCUAGAUCCUUUUCCCAUUUAAAAUUGCAUUGCUUCUAUUUUUACUGUUGAUUCUUAGAAGUUCUUUACAUAUUUUAGAUUUAUAUACAGUAAAUAUUUUCUCCCAGUCCAUGGCUUGCCUUUACCUUUUCUUAAUGGUGUCUUUUGAUUAACCAGACAUUUUAAAUUUUCAUGAAGCCUAUUGUAUCGGGGGUUGUUUUUGUUUGUUCAUUUAUGGUUAGUACUCUUUUUGGUGCUAGCCAGGAAAACUUUGCCUACAUUCUCCUAAGCUCAUGAAUAUAUUUUUCUAUAUUUGUUUCUAGGACAUUUAUAAUUCAAACUUUUAUGUUCUAGCCUAUCACUCAUGUAUAGUUAUGUAUAGUAUAAAUAAGGAUUGAAGUUCAUUUUUCUUUCCAUAUACUUAUCCAGUUAUUCCAGCACCAUUUGUUGAAAACACUUUCUUUCCCUCAUUGAAUUUCCUUGAAGCUUGUGCUCAUAACUUAUAUAACGAGUAUUGCGUUACAAUUUCCAUUAUAUUUCUUAAUUUUUCACUUAACACAAUGUUUAUAUGAUCUAUCCGCAAUGCUGUAUUCAGUCAUUUGAAUUCACUCAUUCAUUUUAUCAUUCAAUAAAUCUGCAGUGGUGAAGAAAACA
Molecule: long non-coding RNA, 3710 nt
Filed under: Homo sapiens (human)
Lineage: Eukaryota; Metazoa; Chordata; Mammalia; Primates; Hominidae
Description: DNA damage enabling regulator, melanocytic melanoma-associated lncRNA, transcript variant 2 (DDERMMAL)
Source: RNAcentral